RNAcentral lists this ribosomal RNA (1359 nucleotides) under uncultured bacterium. RNAcentral's name for it is "bacterial SSU rRNA". It matches the Rfam family "Bacterial small subunit ribosomal RNA", at positions 28 to 1394 of the family's 1533-position model. The record is from RNAcentral.
AUUGAACGCUGGCGGCAUGGUUAAAGCAUGCAAGUCGAACGCGAAUGAGACUUCGGUCUUUAGUAGAGUGGCGAAAGGGCGAGUAAUGCGUUUCUAACGUGCCCCAAGGACAGGGAUAGCCCGGGGAAACCCGGAUUAAUACCUGAUGAUCCCGGUUGGUCGUCGGACCGGCCGGGCAAAUGCCGAGACGCCUUGGGAUCGGGAAACGUCCUAUCAGGUUGUUGGUAAGGUAACGGCUUACCAAGCCUAAGACGGGUAGCGGGUGUGAGAGCACGGCCCGCCGCAUCGGGACUGAGACACUGCCCGGACUCCUACGGGAGGCUGCAGCAACGAAUAUUCCGCAAUGGGCGCAAGCCUGACGGAGCAAUGCCGCGUGAAGGAUGAAGCAUUUCGGUGUGUAAACUUCUGUCAGGGUCCAGAAACACAAUGAUCGGACCCAAAGGAAGGGCCGGCUAACUUCGUGCCAGCAGCCGCGGUAAUACGAAGGGCCCGAGCGUUAAUCGGAAUCACUGGGCUUAAAGGGUGCGUAGGCGGACUCGCAAGUACUUUGUGAAAUCCCAGAGCUCAACUCUGGAAUGGCUUGGUAGACUGCGGGUCUUGAGCUCGACAGAGGCCAUCGGAACUCUAGGUGGAGCGGUGAAAUGCGUAGAUAUCUAGAGGAACGCCGAAGGUGAAGACAGGUGGCUGGGUCGCCGCUGACGCUGAGGCACGAAAGCGUGGGUAGCGAACGGGAUUAGAUACCCCGGUAGUCCACGCCCCUAAACGAUGUGCACUAGAUCGAGGAGGUUUUGACGCCAUCUCGGUCGAAGCUAAAGCAUUAAGUGCACCGCCUGGGGAGUACGGUCGCAAGGCUAAAACUCAAAGGAAUUGACGGGGGCUCACACAAGCGGUGGAGCAUGUGGCUUAAUUCGAAGCAACGCGAAGAACCUUAUCCAAGGCUUGACAUGUACGGAUUAGAUCCUGGAAACAGGGUUGACGCUCUUGUAGUGGAACGUACACAGGUGCUGCAUGGCUGUCGUCAGCUCGUGCUGUGAAGUGUCGGGUUAAGUCCCUUAACGAGCGAAACCCCCGCCGUUAGUUGCUACCAGGUCAUGCUGAGGACUCUAACGGGACUGCCGGUGUCAAACCGGAGGAAGGUGGGGACGACGUCAAGUCAUCAUGGCCUUUAUGCCUUGGGCUGCACACGUGCUACAAUGGCGCGGACAGAGCGAAGCGAUACCGUAAGGUGGAGCAAAUCGCAUAAACCGCGCCCCAGUUCGGAUUGUGGUCUGCAACUCGACCACAUGAAGGUGGAAUCGCUAGUAAUCGCGUAUCAGCUACGACGCGGUGAAUGUGUUCCUGAGCCUUGUACACACCGCC